This 497-nucleotide ribosomal RNA is filed under the name uncultured bacterium. Its description in RNAcentral is "partial 16S ribosomal RNA". It matches the Rfam family "Bacterial small subunit ribosomal RNA", at positions 28 to 507 of the family's 1533-position model. The record is from RNAcentral.
GAUGAACGCUGGCGGCGUGCCUAAUACAUGCAAGUCGAGCGAACAGACGAGGAUCUUGCUCCUCUGACGUUAGCGGCGGACGGGUGAGUAACACGUGCAUAACCUACCUAUAAGACUGGGAUAACUUCGGGAAACCGGAGCUAAUACCGGAUAUUAUAUUGAACCGCAUGGUCCAAUAGUGAAAGACGGUUUUGCUGUCACUUAUAGAUGGAUCCGCGCCGCAUUAGCUAGUUGGUAAGGUAACGGCUUACCAAGGCAACGAUGCGUAGCCGACCUGAGAGGGUGAUCGGCCACACUGGAACUGAGACACGGUCCAGACUCCUACGGGAGGCAGCAGUAGGGAAUCUUCCGCAAUGGGCGAAAGCCUGACGGAGCAACGCCGCGUGAGUGAUGAAGGUCUUCGGAUCGUAAAACUCUGUUAUUAGGGAAGAACAAAUGUGUAAGUAACUAUGCACGUCAUGACGGUACCUGAUCAGAAAGCCACGGCUAACUACGUG